Molecule: non-coding RNA, 458 nt
Organism: Salmo salar (Atlantic salmon)
Lineage: Eukaryota; Metazoa; Chordata; Actinopteri; Salmoniformes; Salmonidae
Source: RefSeq, a predicted model, not a curated record
CAUUGGGAAGUGUGGCCAUUAUUGAAGUGUGACAACACCCUGUCAGUGUGUUGUGAGGACAUAUCUCUAUGCCUGACCAUGCUGUACGGUGUUUUACUAUUUGUAUCAACAUUAACUGUAUUUUUUAGCUUCUUCCUUGUAUACAAAGUAACAGUUCUACAAGAUGAUAUUAACAAACUCAGAGGAGAUAUUUCAAACCUAAUGCCACAUUCUAAAGAAUCCACUGACAGGAUGAUCACUGGUAUGUCCAGAACAUGGGAGAGAUCAAAGCAAGCAGCUUCCCUAAAUUCACAGCAACAGAGACAGACAGAGAAAGACUCUCAGACUCUGUGUUCACCAACAGCAUCCUCUCUGAGAAUGAAAUGGGAGCAGGCAGGCUGUAGUGGAGGUACAGUAGUUCAGCAGUCGUUUCUGCAGCUGUCAGCCAACACAAAGGAACAGCCAUUUGUUAGAGGUAA